UACGGAGGAUGCGAGCGUUAUCCGGAUUUAUUGGGUUUAAAGGGUGCGUAGGCGGGAAAGAAAGUCAGCAUGUGAAAGUUUGGGGCUCAACCUUAAAAUUGCAGUUGAAACUUCUUUUCUUGAGUAUGUAUAAGGUAUGCGGAAUUCGUGGUGUAGCGGUGAAAUGCUUAGAUAUCACGAAGAACUCCGAUUGCGAAGGCAGCAUACCGGGCCAUAACUGACGCUGAUGCACGAAAGCGUGGGUAUCAAACAGG
RNAcentral lists this ribosomal RNA (254 nucleotides) under uncultured bacterium. RNAcentral describes it as "partial 16S ribosomal RNA". It matches the Rfam family "Bacterial small subunit ribosomal RNA", at positions 524 to 776 of the family's 1533-position model. The record is from RNAcentral.